GGGGGUGUGGCUCAGUGUCAGAGCCCCUGUUUAACGCACACAAAGCCCUGGAUUCUAUCUCCAGUACUUUCA
Molecule: transfer RNA, 72 nt
Filed under: Cricetulus griseus (Chinese hamster)
Lineage: Eukaryota; Metazoa; Chordata; Mammalia; Rodentia; Cricetidae
Rfam family: tRNA
About the family: Transfer RNA (tRNA) molecules are approximately 80 nucleotides in length. Their secondary structure includes four short double-helical elements and three loops (D, anti-codon, and T loops). Further hydrogen bonds mediate the characteristic L-shaped molecular structure. tRNAs have two regions of fundamental functional importance: the anti-codon, which is responsible for specific mRNA codon recognition, and the 3' end, to which the tRNAs corresponding amino acid is attached (by aminoacyl-tRNA synthetases). tRNAs cope with the degeneracy of the genetic code in two manners: having more than one tRNA (with a specific anti-codon) for a particular amino acid; and 'wobble' base-pairing, i.e. permitting non-standard base-pairing at the 3rd anti-codon position.
Source: Rfam by way of RNAcentral